UACGUAGGGAGCAAGCGUUGUCCGGAAUCAUUGGGCGUAAAGCGCGCGUAGGCGGCCUUGUAAGUCCGUUGUGAAAGUCAAAGGCUCAACCUUUGAAAGCCGAUGGAUACUGUGAGGCUAGAGUCCGGAAGAGGCGAGUGGAAUUCCUGGUGUAGCGGUGGAAUGCGCAGAUAUCAGGAGGAACACCAAUAGCGAAGGCAGCGCGCUGGGACGGUACUGACGCUAAGGCGCGAAAGCGUGGGGAGCGAACAGG
RNAcentral lists this ribosomal RNA (253 nucleotides) under uncultured bacterium. RNAcentral describes it as "partial 16S ribosomal RNA". It matches the Rfam family "Bacterial small subunit ribosomal RNA", at positions 524 to 776 of the family's 1533-position model. The record is from RNAcentral.